AGUGAACGCUGGCGGUAGGCCUAACACAUGCAAGUCGAACGGCAGCACAGUAAGAUCUUGCUCUUACGGGUGGCGAGUGGCGGACGGGUGAGGAAUACAUCGGAAUCUACUUUUUCGUGGGGGAUAACGUAGGGAAACUUACGCUAAUACCGCAUACGACCUACGGGUUAAAGCAGUGGAUCUUCGGACCUUUCGCGAUUGAAUGAGCCGAUGUCGGAUUAGCUAGUUGGCGGGGUAAAGGCCCACCAAGGCGACGAUCCGUAGCUGGUCUGAGAGGAUGAUCAGCCACACUGGAACUGAGACACGGUCCAGACUCCUACGGGAGGCAGCAGUGGGGAAUAUUGGACAAUGGGCGCAAGCCUGAUCCAGCCAUACCGCGUGGGUGAAGAAGGCCUUCGGAUUGUAAAGCCCUUUUGUUGGGAAAGAAAAGCAGCAGGUUAAUACACCGAUGUUCUGACGGUACCCAAAGAAUAAGCACCGGCUAACUUCGUG
RNAcentral lists this ribosomal RNA (492 nucleotides) under uncultured bacterium. RNAcentral's name for it is "partial 16S ribosomal RNA". It matches the Rfam family "Bacterial small subunit ribosomal RNA", at positions 29 to 507 of the family's 1533-position model. The record is from RNAcentral.